CACUCAGGGCGAAGCUAGGGAGCGAAUGGGAUAGAUACCCCAGUAGUCCUAGCCGUAAACGAUGGAUACUAGGUGUUGUCUUAUCGACCCGGACAGUGCCGUAGCUAACGCGUUAAGUAUCCCGCCUGGGGAGUACGCACGCAAGUGUGAACUCAAAGGAAUGACGGGGGCCCGCACAAGCGGUGGAGUAUGUGGUUAAUUCGAUGCAACGCGAAGAACCUUACCAGGACUUGACAUGUCGCGAAUCUUUUGGAAACAGAAGAGUGCCUUCGGGAGCGCGAACACAGGUGGUGCAUGGCUGCCGUCAGCUCGUGUCGUGAGAUGUUGGGUUAAGUCCCGCAACGAGCGCAACCCUCGUGUUUAGUUGCCAUCAUUAAGUUGGGCACUCUAAACAGACUGCCGGUGACAAACCGGAGGAAGGUGGGGAUGACGUCAAGUCAGCAUGCCCCUUACGUCCUGGGCGACACACGUACUACAAUGGUAGGGACAGAGGGCAGCCAACCCGCGAGAGUGAGCUAAUCCCGUAAACCCUGCCUCAGUUCAGAUUGCAGGCUGCAACUCGCCUGCAUGAAGGCGGAAUCGCUAGUAAUCGCAGGUCAGCAUACUGCGGUGAAUCCGUUCCCGGGCCUGUACACACCGCCC
This 642-nucleotide unclassified non-coding RNA is filed under the name uncultured cyanobacterium. RNAcentral's name for it is "bacterial SSU rRNA". It matches the Rfam family "Bacterial small subunit ribosomal RNA", at positions 744 to 1395 of the family's 1533-position model. The record is from RNAcentral. Lineage: Bacteria; Bacillati; Cyanobacteriota.